RNAcentral lists this ribosomal RNA (494 nucleotides) under uncultured bacterium. Its description in RNAcentral is "partial 16S ribosomal RNA". It matches the Rfam family "Bacterial small subunit ribosomal RNA", at positions 28 to 507 of the family's 1533-position model. The record is from RNAcentral.
GACGAACGCUGGCGGCGUGCUUAACACAUGCAAGUCGAACGGUGAAGCGCCUUCCUUUUUGGUGGGUGUGGAUGAGUGGCGAACGGGUGAGUAACACGUGAGUAACCUGCCCCCUUCUUCUGGAUAACCGCAUGAAAGUGUGGCUAAUACGGGAUAUUCUGGGUCUGUCGCAUGAUGGGUCUGGGAAAGAUAUUGUUUCGGUGGGGGAUGGGCUCGCGGCCUAUCAGCUUGUUGGUGGGGUGAUGGCCUACCAAGGCGGUGACGGGUAGCCGGCCUGAGAGGGUGGACGGUCACACUGGGACUGGGCCACGGCCCAGACUCCUACGGGAGGCAGCAGUGGGGAAUAUUGCACAAUGGGCGCAAGCCUGAUGCAGCGACGCCGCGUGAGGGAUGGAGGCCUUCGGGUUGUGAACCUCUUUCGCCAGUGAAGCAGGCCUGCCUCGUUUGUGGGUGGGUUGACGGUAGCUGGAGAAGAAGCGCCGGCUAACUACGUG